Molecule: ribosomal RNA, 445 nt
Filed under: uncultured bacterium
Lineage: Bacteria
Description: bacterial SSU rRNA
Rfam family: Bacterial small subunit ribosomal RNA
Source: RNAcentral
GUGAGGAAUAUUGGUCAAUGGGCGCAAGCCUGAACCAGCCAUGCCGCGUGCAGGAAGACGGUCCUAUGGAUUGUAAACUGCUUUUAUUUGGGAAUAAACUCCGGUACGUGUACCGGCCUGAAGGUACCAAAUGAAUAAGCACCGGCUAACUCCGUGCCAGCAGCCGCGGUAAUACGGAGGGUACAAGCGUUAUCCGGAAUCAUUGGGUUUAAAGGGUCCGCAGGCGGUCUUAUAAGUCAGUGGUGAAAGCCUACAGCUCAACUGUAGAACUGCCAUUGAUACUGUAGGACUUGAUUUCGAUCGAAGUGGGCGGAAUGUGACAUGUAGCGGUGAAAUGCUUAGAUAUGUCACAGAACACCGAUAGCGAAGGCAGCUCACUAGGUCUGGAUUGACGCUCAGGGACGAAAGCGUGGGGAGCAAACAGGAUUAGAUACCCUUGUAGUCC